GACGAACGCUGGCGGCGUGGAUUAGGCAUGCAAGUCGGACGGUAGGGCUUUAUCGUAAGAUAGAGUUUGAGAGUGGCGAACGGGUGAGUAACACGUAGGAAUCUACCCUUAAGACGGGGACAACCCAGGGAAACUUGGGCUAAUACCGGAUGAGAGUGCGAGAGAUUGCAUUUAAAAGGAUGGCGAAAGUUGUCGCUUAGGGAUGAGCCUGCGGUCUAUUAGUUAGUUGGUGAGGUAAGAGCUCACCAAGGCGAUGAUAGAUAGGCGGCCUUAACGGGUGGUCGCCCACACUGGGAUUGAGAUACGGCCCAGACUCCUACGGGAGGCAGCAGUCGAGAAUAGUCUACAAUGGCCGGAAGGCUGAUAGUGCGACGCCGCGUGAGCGAAGAAGGCCUUCGGGUUGUAAAGCUCUGUCUGGAGGACGAAGGAAGUGACGGUACCUCCGGAGGAAGCCACGGCAACUACGUGCCAGCAGCCGCGGUAAAGCUACGUGA
Molecule: ribosomal RNA, 494 nt
Filed under: uncultured bacterium
Lineage: Bacteria
Description: bacterial SSU rRNA
Rfam family: Bacterial small subunit ribosomal RNA
Source: RNAcentral